RNAcentral lists this small RNA (27 nucleotides) under Bombyx mori (domestic silkworm). RNAcentral's name for it is "ovarian small RNA-32381". Lineage: Eukaryota; Metazoa; Arthropoda; Insecta; Lepidoptera; Bombycidae. The record is from RNAcentral.
UGAUACCAGGCCGCAGCUGCGUACGUG